RNAcentral lists this long non-coding RNA (1182 nucleotides) under Zonotrichia albicollis (white-throated sparrow). RNAcentral describes it as "lncRNA (ENSZALG00000000714.1)". Lineage: Eukaryota; Metazoa; Chordata; Aves; Passeriformes; Passerellidae. The record is from RNAcentral.
AAUUCCAAAGGGAUUCGGGACAGAAAAAACCCAGAAUUCCAAAGGGAUUUGGGGUGGGAAUCCAGAAUUCCAAAGGGAUUUUUGGGAUGGAAAACCCAGAAUUCCAAAGGGAUUUUCCAUGGGAUUUAGGGACGAGAAGUGAGAAUUCCAAAGGGAUUUUGGGAUGGAAAAACCAGAAUUCCCAAAAGAUCAUCAGAAUUCCAAAGGGAAUUUGGGAUAGGAAAUGAGAAUUCCAAAGGGUUCUUAAAAUUCCAUGAGAAAUUGGGAUGGAAAAACCCGGAAUUCCAAAGGGAUUUGGGAUGGAAAAAACCCAGAAUUCCAAAGGGAUUUUUGGGAUGGAAAAUCCGGAAUUCCAAAGGGAUUUUAGGGAUGGAAAAACCCGGAAUUCCAAAGGGAUUUUGGGAUGGAAAUCCCGGAAUUCCAAAGGGAUUUUUGGGAUGGAAAAAACCCAGUAUUCCAAAGGGAUUUGGGGUGGGAAAUAAUGGAAUAAUGACAAAAAACAUUGGGAAUUUUAGCUGGGAAAACCUCAGGAUGGAGCAGGGAAAAUUCCCAGAUUUUCCCCAUUCCCAGAUUUUUCCCAUUUUUCCCCAUUCCCAUUUUCCCAUUUUUCCCAGAUUUUUCCCAUUUUCCCCAUUCCCAAAUUUCCCCAUUCCCAAAUUUCCCCAUUCCCAAAUUUCCCCAUUCCCAUUUUCCCAUUUUUCCCCAUUUUCCCCAGAUUUUCCCAUUUUCCCUAUUCCCAGAUCUCCCCAUUCCCAUUUUCCUAUUUUUUCCCAUUUUUCCCAUUUAUCCAUUUUCUCCACUUUUCCCAUUUUUCACAGAUUUUUCCCAAAUUUUCCCAUAUUUUUUCCAUUUUUUCCCCCAUUUUUCCCAUUCCCAGAUUUCCCCACUGCCAUUUCCCAUUCCCAAAUUUCCCUAUUCCCAGAUUUUUCCCAUUUUUUCCCAUUCCCAGAUUUUUCCCCCUUUUCCCCCAUUUUCCCCAUUUUCCCCAGAUUUUCCCAGAUUUUUCCCAUUGUUCCCCAUUCCCAUUUUCCCAUUUUUCCCCAGAUUUUUCCCAGAUUUUCCCCAGAUUUUUCCCAGAUUUUUCCCAUUCCCAUUUUUCCCCAUUUUUCCAGAUUUUCUCCACUUUUCCCAUUUUCCCAGAUUUUCCCAUUUUUCCUAUUUUCCCCNNNNNNNNNNNNNNNN